RNAcentral lists this transfer RNA (94 nucleotides) under Fusarium vanettenii 77-13-4. Its description in RNAcentral is "tRNA-Ile for anticodon AAU". It matches the Rfam family "tRNA". Rfam says of the family: Transfer RNA (tRNA) molecules are approximately 80 nucleotides in length. Their secondary structure includes four short double-helical elements and three loops (D, anti-codon, and T loops). Lineage: Eukaryota; Fungi; Ascomycota; Sordariomycetes; Hypocreales; Nectriaceae. RNAcentral also lists the same sequence under 1 other name. The record is from Rfam by way of RNAcentral.
GCUUCCGUAGCUCAGUUGGUUAGAGCGUCGUACUAAUACUCCAUCAGAGUGUUCUGUAAUGCGAAGGCCUCUGGUUCAAGCCCAGGCGGAAGCA